CCUACGGGUGGCAGCAGUGAGGAAUAUUGGUCAAUGGACGAGAGUCUGAACCAGCCAAGUAGCGUGAAGGAUGACUGCCCUAUGGGUUGUAAACUUCUUUUAUAAAGGAAUAAAACGAGGCACGUGUGCCUUUUUGCAUGUACUUUAUGAAUAAGGAUCGGCUAACUCCGUGCCAGCAGCCGCGGUAAUACGGAGGAUCCGAGCGUUAUCCGGAUUUAUUGGGUUUAAAGGAAACGUAGAUGGGUUGUUAAGUCAGUUGUGAAAGUUGUCGGCUCAACCGUAAAAUUGCAAUUGAUACUGGCAGUCUUGAGUACAGUUGAGGUAGGCGGAAUGCGUGGUGUAGCGGUGAAAUGCGUAGAUAUCUCGAAGAACCCCGAUUGCGAAGGCAGCUUACUAAACUGUGACUGACAUUGAUGCUCGAAAGCGUGGGUAGCAAACAGGAUUAGAUACCCUUGUAGUC
RNAcentral lists this ribosomal RNA (460 nucleotides) under uncultured bacterium. RNAcentral's name for it is "partial 16S ribosomal RNA". It matches the Rfam family "Bacterial small subunit ribosomal RNA", at positions 338 to 795 of the family's 1533-position model. The record is from RNAcentral.